Molecule: ribosomal RNA, 357 nt
Filed under: uncultured Lactobacillus sp.
Lineage: Bacteria; Bacillati; Bacillota; Bacilli; Lactobacillales; Lactobacillaceae
Description: bacterial SSU rRNA
Rfam family: Bacterial small subunit ribosomal RNA
Source: RNAcentral
CGCAUGAAAGAAGUUUAAAAGGCGGCGUAAAGCUGUCGCUAAAGGGAUGGACCUGCGAUGCAUUAGCUAGUUGGUAAGGUAACGGCUUACCAAGGCGAUGAUGCAUAGCCGAGUUGAGAGACUGAUCGGCCACAUUGGGACUGAGACACGGCCCAAACUCCUACGGGGAGGCAGCAGUAGGGAAAUCUUCCACAAUGGACGAAAGUCUGAUGGAGCAACGCCGCGUGAGUGAAGAAGGUUUUCGGAUCGUAAAGCUCUGUUGUUGGUGAAGAAGGAUAGAGGUAGUAACUGGCCUUUAUUUGACGGUAAUCAACCAGAAAGUCACGGCUAACUACGUGCCCAGCAGCCGCGGGUAAU